Trichomycterus rosablanca is the source of this 124-nucleotide long non-coding RNA. RefSeq lists it as uncharacterized. The record is from RefSeq and is a predicted model, not a curated record. Lineage: Eukaryota; Metazoa; Chordata; Actinopteri; Siluriformes; Trichomycteridae. The transcript is spliced from 3 exons.
AGAACACUGUAGACCUGCACCAGGCUGGGAAGAGUGAAUCUACAAUAGGCAAGCAGGAUCUGGGAUGGAGCGUGAGGGACCCCCAGAGCAGAACCGGUCUGAAAACCGCACCAUUUACAUCAGU